GGCGGACGGGUGAGUAAUGUCUGGGAAACUGCCUGAUGGAGGGGGAUAACUACUGGAAACGGUAGCUAAUACCGCAUAACGUCGCAAGACCAAAGAGGGGGACCUUCGGGCCUCUUGCCAUCAGAUGUGCCCAGAUGGGAUUAGCUAGUAGGUGGGGUAACGGCUCACCUAGGCGACGAUCCCUAGCUGGUCUGAGAGGAUGACCAGCCACACUGGAACUGAGACACGGUCCAGACUCCUACGGGAGGCAGCAGUGGGGAUUAUUGCACAAUGGGCGCAAGCCUGAUGCAGCCAUGCCGCGUGUGUGAAGAAGGCCUUCGGGUUGUAAAGCACUUUCAGCGGGGAGGAAGGGAGUAAGGUUAAUAACCUUAUUCAUUGACGUUACCCGCAGAAGAAGCACCGGCUAACUCCGUGCCAGCAGCCGCGGUAUUACGGAGGGUGCAAGCGUUAAUCGGAAUUACUGGGCCUAAAGCGCACGCAGGCGGUCUGUCAAGUCGGAUGUGAAAUCCCCGGGCUCAACCUGGGAACUGCAUCCGAAACUGGCAGGCUUGAGUCUGGUAGAGGGAGGUAGAAUUCCAGGUGUAGCGGUGAAAUGGGUAGAGAUCUGGAGGAAUACCGGUGGCGAAGGCGGCCUCCUGGACGAAGACUGACGCUCAGGUGCGAAAGCGUGGGGAGCAAACAGGAUUAGAUACCCUGGUAGUCCACGCCGUAAACGAUGUCUAUUUGGAGGUUGUGCCCUUGAGGCGUGGCUUCCGGAGCUAACGCGUUAAAUAGACCGCCUGGGGAGUACGGCCGCAAGGUUAAAACUCAAAUGAAUUGACGGGGGCCCGCACAAGCGGUGGAGCAUGUGGUUUAAUUCGAUGCA
RNAcentral lists this ribosomal RNA (865 nucleotides) under Salmonella enterica. RNAcentral's name for it is "bacterial SSU rRNA". It matches the Rfam family "Bacterial small subunit ribosomal RNA", at positions 97 to 958 of the family's 1533-position model. RNAcentral also lists the same sequence under 1 other name. The record is from RNAcentral. Lineage: Bacteria; Pseudomonadati; Pseudomonadota; Gammaproteobacteria; Enterobacterales; Enterobacteriaceae.